Lepisosteus oculatus (spotted gar) is the source of this 400-nucleotide non-coding RNA. Lineage: Eukaryota; Metazoa; Chordata; Actinopteri; Semionotiformes; Lepisosteidae. The record is from RefSeq and is a predicted model, not a curated record.
AUGUUACAUACUCAAUGACUAAAUCAUGCAUCAUUUAAAAUUAAGUCAUUAUGCAUAUGAGAAGAAUCAGAUGGUACAAUUGAAAUCAAACAAUGGGAAAUUCAUUGUUAAAAUGAUGUUGGAUUUUUUUUGUUUGUUUUCUUAUGCAUACAGGUGAAAGAUACAGGAGAUAUUGAGGUAUUGAAGAACUGACUUGACUGUCCCAUCUUAUUAAGAGUCUUAAGUGAAAGCCCUGUAUUGAGAAUAUGAGCAUAUUUGAUUAUGAUGCAGUUUUGGCCCACAACCCUGCACAUGUGAAUCCAUUGUUCCACACAUUGCAAAUAAUAUCAAAUAAUUUAAUUUAAUAAUUCAAAAUGUAUUCAAUUUAAAGUGGAUAAACAAUAAAUGAAGAUGAAAGUAU